UAAACACAAAAUCUCAAGUUUGCAGCUUCAGAUUCCAUAUCAACUAUUCUCAGAAUUAUUAAUAUCAAACAGAACCAUGAAAAGGUUAAACAAUUCAAGUACAUUAAUACAAAACAUACUAAGGCCAACCAGCAUCCAGCAUCUAAUACAAAUUGUGAAUUUGUCAAUCAUCUCUUAACAUAACAUAAUGAGGAUGGAAAAAGUAAACACAUCACGCAAUAUCAUUUCUUGUUGGUCCAGGGUCAUACUUCAU
RNAcentral lists this long non-coding RNA (253 nucleotides) under Actinidia chinensis (golden kiwifruit). Its description in RNAcentral is "long non-coding RNA (ACHI_LNC003245)". The record is from RNAcentral. Lineage: Eukaryota; Viridiplantae; Streptophyta; Magnoliopsida; Ericales; Actinidiaceae.